AUACGUAGGGGGCGAGCGUUGUCCGGAUUUAUUGGGCGUAAAGAGCUCGUAGGCGGUUCAACAAGUCGGUCGUGAAAGUUCAGGGCUCAACCCUGAAAUGUCGAUCGAUACUGUUGUGACUAGGAUACGGUAGAGGUGAGUGGAAUUCCGAGUGUAGCGGUGAAAUUCGUAGAUAUUUGGAGGAACACCAAUGGCGAAGGCAACUCCCUGGCCAAAGACUGACGCUCAUGUGCGAAAGUGUGGGUAGCGAACAGGAUUAGAUACCCUGGUAGUCCACGCCGUAAACGAUGAGAACUAGCCGUUGGGGCCUUUAAGGCUUUGGUGGCGCAGCUAACGCGAUAAGUUCUUCGCCUGGGGAGUACGGCCGCAAGGUUAAAACUCAAAUAAAUUGACGGGGACCCGCACAAGCAGUGGAGCAUGUGGUUUAAUUCGACGCAACGCGAAGAACCUUACCAGCGUUUGACAUGGAAAGUACCGGUUACAGAAUGGUAACCUUCAGUUAGGCUGGCUUUCGCACAGGUGCUGCA
RNAcentral lists this ribosomal RNA (527 nucleotides) under uncultured bacterium. Its description in RNAcentral is "bacterial SSU rRNA". It matches the Rfam family "Bacterial small subunit ribosomal RNA", at positions 523 to 1045 of the family's 1533-position model. The record is from RNAcentral.